This 164-nucleotide long non-coding RNA is filed under the name Calidris pugnax (ruff). Its description in RNAcentral is "lncRNA (ENSCPUG00000007047.1)". The record is from RNAcentral. Lineage: Eukaryota; Metazoa; Chordata; Aves; Charadriiformes; Scolopacidae.
GGAAAGAAGAGGAGCCUGCACAUCUGGGCCAGACGGGGUCUUGGGGCUCCAUACCACACAGCUGUUCUGCCUGAGAGAGGGACCAGCAGCUGGAGAUGUGCCCAGCCAUUGGUCACAGGGUGGAGCUACGUCCUGAAUUUGUCUCGAGCUGGGAUAAGCGUGUU